CAGCUCAGUGGAAAAGAGCCCACGGUUCCAGACCAUGAUGUCAAGGGUUCAACCCCCUUCUAGCUCAUAAUAGA
RNAcentral lists this transfer RNA (74 nucleotides) under Ephedra przewalskii. RNAcentral describes it as "tRNA-Trp". It matches the Rfam family "tRNA". Rfam says of the family: Transfer RNA (tRNA) molecules are approximately 80 nucleotides in length. Their secondary structure includes four short double-helical elements and three loops (D, anti-codon, and T loops). Lineage: Eukaryota; Viridiplantae; Streptophyta; Gnetopsida; Ephedrales; Ephedraceae. The record is from RNAcentral.